This 505-nucleotide ribosomal RNA is filed under the name uncultured bacterium. RNAcentral describes it as "partial 16S ribosomal RNA". It matches the Rfam family "Bacterial small subunit ribosomal RNA", at positions 28 to 507 of the family's 1533-position model. The record is from RNAcentral.
GACGAACGCUGGCGGCGUGCCUAAUACAUGCAAGUAGAACGCACAGUUUAUACCGUAGCUUGCUACACCAUAGACUGUGAGUUGCGAACGGGUGAGUAACGCGUAGGUAACCUGCCUGGUAGCGGGGGAUAACUAUUGGAAACGAUAGCUAAUACCGCAUAAUAUUAAUUAUUGCAUGAUAAUUAAUUGAAAGGUGCAAUUGCACCACUACCAGAUGGACCUGCGUUGUAUUAGCUAGUAGGUGAGGUAACGGCUCACCUAGGCGACGAUACAUAGCCGGCCUGAGAGGGUGAUCGGCCACACUGGGACUGAGACACGGCCCAGACUCCUACGGGAGGCAGCAGUAGGGAAUCUUCGGCAAUGGACGAAAGUCUGACCGAGCAACGCCGCGUGAGUGAAGAAGGUUUUCGGAUCGUAAAGCUCUGUUGUAAGAGAAGAACGGGUGUGAGAGUGGAAAGUUCACACUGUGACGGUAUUUUACCAGAAAGGGACGGCUAACUACGUG